AGUAGGCGACUGACUGCCCAAGAGACCCAGGGCUCCGCAAGGAGACGGCGCAGGUGUCGGGGCUCCCCGCAGGUGAGGAGGCCGACGUUCCAGGAGGUCCGCCCGGGCGGUCCCUGAGUCCUGCCUCGCGGCUGCUCGCUGGGAUCCGAGGGCGGAACGGGACGCGCAGGAACCCGGCCCGACGGGCGCGGCUCACACCCGUGCUCUUCCUGCGCUCUCGGCCUCACUUUGCGGCCAGAGCCGCGGCCCUGCGCGUGGCCGGCGGCCGCUUCUUUAUCUCCGACCCCACUGCCCAGUACUGUACGCGUCCAGACUAAAGAAACAUCAUUCGCUUAAGGGGCUGGGAAAAGCGCGUGCUCCGCUCGCCCUGGCACCGCGGGUCGCCCAGCUCGCAGACUGGGACGGGCGGUGCAAGAGGUGGUGCUCCCUGUCCAGGAGGGGACGCGGAAGAGGGCAUCUCUGGUCCCGGGAUGCGAUUGUCCCGGUUUCUCCUUCUGGCCCACUCGCCGCGCGCACGAACUCUAGGGGAAGUUGGUUGUAAAGUUUCCGAGAGCGGCGUGGGCUGGUGCGAGUGAAGCGCGGGGCGGGGGAGGCGAGGACAGAAGCUCUCCUCGCGGCGUCUUUGUUCUGCUCUGGAGGAGAGACCUUGGCAAGGAGUCGCCGGGCGGGUGCAGGGACCUACCGCCACCACAUUCCGGACCCAGCGGGAGCCCUCCUCUUAAUGCCCCUCCCCCCGCAAGCCAACCCAGGACAUAGCCCCCAGGUCCCCAAGGCCGGGAAAAAGUGUCCGAACGCCUCGUGGACUGCAGCGGGGGAAAUGUCCCUUAAAAGUGCGACGAAGUGGGGAAGAAGGUGUAAUUACUAUUAUCAGCAUCUAGAAAGCAUCAUGAAUUUGCUGGAGUACUUCCUAGCACUGACCUCCUUCAUUCUGCGUUGUUCUUACUGGAUCUUUCCAUCAGCCAACAAUAUGGAAGUACCAAUACAAGGUCAAAUCAUUCCUGGAUUCAUCUGGAGUUGCUUAAAAGUUAAAUCAUUGGAAUUUUUGAUGAUACCUUUUCUAUAUGGAUUACAAUUUGAUCGCUGGGAAUUCUCCACCUUAAAGAAGACUCUUUUGCUAUCUGGAAACCCAUGUCCACCUCUGACUUCCACUCAAAAUUGCUUUCCUCACAGUCUGACUGCGAGAGUUGUGAAAAAUUGGGAUGUGCUUCUGAGGUGGGCUGUGGAAUGCCAUGAGAGACGGGGUUUCACCGUGUUAGCCAGGAUGGUCUCAAUCUCCUGACCUCGUGAUCCGCCCACCUCGGCCUCCCAAAGUGCUGGGAUUACAGGCGUGAGCCACCAUGCCUGGUCCUAUAUUCCUUUUCAUUCCUGUCGAGUACCCUCAGGUGACUACAGAUGUGUUAACACCCAGCAUGUUCCGGUAGGAGACUUUCUGGAUGGGGAAGAUUUCCAGGUGUGAAUCAUGGCAAUACAGUGAAAGACAGUGAUUUACUGCUUUUGAGGGCGUGCAUGUAUAUGAUUAACGGAUGGAAGUGCAGGACUCCAAGAUUUACUUCCUUCCCUUUCCAGCAGAAUUACCUGAGACGAGUGAGUAAUGGGAUAAUUUGUAAUACCACAGGCCCCUUUUCAAGGGACCAGUAAUCAAAACAGGAAGAUGAAACUGAGAAGAUUUCAACUGGAAGAAUACAACUUUUGAUAAUUUCUGGAUAUACCUCUUAAUUGCAAGCAGGAGAGUCUUCAGAGUUUUCCUGUGGUGGUGGUUGUUGUUGUUGUUGUUGUUGUUGUUUGAGAUGGAAUUUUGCUCUUAUUACCUGGGCUGGA
RNAcentral lists this long non-coding RNA (1818 nucleotides) under Homo sapiens (human). Its description in RNAcentral is "non-protein coding CASC15:34". Lineage: Eukaryota; Metazoa; Chordata; Mammalia; Primates; Hominidae. The record is from RNAcentral.